UUGCAGCGGUGCUGAUGAAUACAUUGUAGGGAAAACACUGAUUAUUACAUUACUAUUUUGGUAUGAACAUUCACCCGCCAGUGUGGCGGAUAGCCUUUUGAAAUUUACUCGCCAAACGGAAAAUCUACCCGCAUUUGGCGCUUGGCGGGUGUUAAUUUCGGACCCUGGCUAAAGCCCUUCAAUGCUUGGAGAGCUCUCCACAAGGUAAAGAACAUCGUCAGUCGCUUGUUGUGUUUCCUGCAGAGGUGACUGGUGGGGAAGAUGGCCGGAUCCGUCAGCCGAUGUCUCUGCAGGGCUGGUUCCCUCAGGUGUGGUGUGAGCGGACACUCCGACUUGUCCUUCGUAUCCCAGAAGCCUUCGAUGCAGUCCAGGCAAAAGUUGUGUCCACAUGGGAUGGAGACAGGAUUGUUAUGAAGAAAAAAAUUCACCUCAGAUCAAGAACAAGCGUUUAAUGGAGAGGCGUGUCUGCGGUCUUUGUUUAACAGAACCUCCCCCUUGUCAAGCUCGUCUGAGCAACAUGCUUGAAAGAGAAGCUGCUGAGGUUUGUUCUUCAUUUUGUAAGAUACCAAGUAAUUAUUUCCACUCAGCAGCCAGAACAUGUGAAUGAAUCAGCAGCCAGAACAUGUGAACAGUGAUCAUUUAAUACAGUAAUAAGGAUAAUAAAUGUGUGU
Micropterus dolomieu (smallmouth bass) is the source of this 671-nucleotide long non-coding RNA. RefSeq lists it as uncharacterized. Lineage: Eukaryota; Metazoa; Chordata; Actinopteri; Centrarchiformes; Centrarchidae. The record is from RefSeq and is a predicted model, not a curated record. The transcript has 4 exons.